CCGGAUGGGGGGGAUAGGAGCCGAGACGUCCCCAAAAGGCGUCGGCCAUCCAUCCACCGUCCCCAGCUUCCAGGGGAAGGCAGUGGACGGAGGGACAAAAACAGGGGCCGAGGAAGGCGACUGGACAUCCAUCGGCGCAUUAGCCCAGUCCUCCAUUUGGUCCAGGUGGAUGACGACUCGGAAGGUGACCCCCCGCAGCCACUCCGGGGCCGGCUCCUGCGAGACGCGGAGGACAGAGGAGAGCCCACCGGCGUUGCGGUUGGUUAGCGUGAGCCACACAAUCCUGGGGAUGGCGCUUGGGUUGCGGCCGGGUCCAGGCCCACAGCCCCACCAUGGAGGUGUCCUCCAUCGUCGUGGCGUUGGAGGGCGCAGCGGCGGCCGAUCACCCGCUCAAUGAUCUCCGGGUGCCACGCGGGGCGAGCACCUCGGCGCAGCGGGAGGAUUCCUCGAACUUCACGAGGAAUGGUUCGGGGAAGUGACGGCUUACAUUGAGCUCGGACGGGCUAAGGCGGAAGAAGCGGCGGAACGCAGCAUCCACCUCCACGCGCGAAGUACUGGGAGGGGCGCCGACGAGCCAGACCACCAGCGCGAUUCUCUCCCAGUUCAGACGAUCCAACUCAAGGUUGAAGGACGUGGCGACGAUGCAGGUGUCACUCUCCGGUCUUGUGGCCGCGGAGCCAAUCCCCUGAAGCGCCAUCAAUGGCGGGCCGGCGGAGGAACCCCACUGGAAGCGCGACGGUGGAAGAGGGAGCGGGAGUGCGGGACGCCCGAGCCACUUGCAGUUGCAGGAGGCGUUGGCAGCGUUCUAUCAUUUUAACGGACAAGUCAGUAUUUCACGAAAAGAUACACAUAUUUUAGGCAUGAGGCCUCUUAAUUCGAAAGAACUCUUUGACGCCACGGACGACUUCCGACCGCUUCGCCACUUUCCUCAUUUCCCUUUCUUCGCAGACAGAACAUUUCCCAUUUUCCCCCUUCUCCAUCAAACCCCCGACCAGCGAGCUAGACCACCGUUCCCCUUCUCCUCCAACGUGCGUCGGGGGAGUCGCUGACUGCGGCUCCUAUCCCUUUUUUUUUUGCGCUGUGCGGCUCCUAUCCCUGUGGUGGCGAGAGCUGUCGGCGUGGUGGUUCCCUUCGGCCGAGCGAGAUUCUCAGGGCGGCGCGAAAUUCCCAAAUCCUCCCCUUCCUCCAGUCCAGUGUGCAUCGAGGGAGUCGACGGCUGCAUCGUCUAUCCGUGAGGCGGCGGGAGACGUCGGCAUGGUGGUUGCCCGCGGACGGGCGAGAUUCUCACAACGGCUCGACCUGUGAAACCCUCCCCUUCCUCCAACGUGUCGUCGGGGGUAGGUCCGGCCGACUGCACCACCAAAUACCAGCAGCGGUGCAAGAUGUCGAUGUGGUGCCUCCCUGUGGCUGAAUGGAUUCGUGCAGCGGCGAGGCUCCGCCGGGGAGCCACUCCAUGGUAGCACGAAACCACAUGUUCGUCUCCCUUCAACUGCUCUAUGCUUUCCCUUAGCAUAUUCCGUGGAUGUCGCCAUAUCAUGGCUGAAGCCUGAACAAGAGAUCAAGGGAGAUAACUUUGACUGGACUCAUAAGUAUGCUUGUUUAAAUAACAGGAGGUCUUAUCCCCCUGUUUCUUCUCUUAUCUAGAGUAACUGAAGCUGAGCCAUUUGUUGAAACACGAGAGAAGACAUGCAAAUUAGCAGGAACGUGGAUCCUAGAGAAGAUGAAGCAGAAGUUGCAGAAUUUAUCCAGACAAAUUAAGUGCUGAGUGUUGGAUUAUCGCAGUCAUCUUGCCCCUUACAGAAUCAUGCAUACGGACCGAAUUGAUAAAAUCCACAAGUGAAGAUAAUGCUUGAAGGGCGAGAUUGACUUUGGCUGCGGAGACUCAUGUGUCAGGGGGCGACCACACAGGAGUGUGCGGUUUGUGUUCGUUCUGCAGGUUUGUCAUUGUUGUAAUAGUCAAUAGGUGGGCUCACUUACUUCUCUGGCCGUGUUUCCGUCAGAUGUCACUGAUCGAUCUCCAAAUAUAAUCUUUCUAAUGAAGAGAAUUUAAUAAAAUUAGUUCAUUUUAGACGAGUUUUGAUAUUUUCGA
Brachypodium distachyon (stiff brome) is the source of this 2089-nucleotide long non-coding RNA. RefSeq lists it as uncharacterized. NCBI's taxonomy places the organism in Eukaryota, Viridiplantae, Streptophyta, Magnoliopsida, Poales, Poaceae. The record is from RefSeq and is a predicted model, not a curated record. The transcript has 5 exons.